GGGUUGUGAGGUUAAGCGACUAAGCGUACACGGUGGAUGCCCUGGCAGUCAGAGGCGAUGAAGGACGUGCUAAUCUGCGAUAAGCGCCGGUAAGGUGAUAUGAACCGUUAUAACCGGCGAUUUCCGAAUGGGGAAACCCAGUGUGACUCGUCACACUAUCAUUAACUGAAUCCAUAGGUUAAUGAGGCGAACCGGGGGAACUGAAACAUCUAAGUACCCCGAGGAAAAGAAAUCAACCGAGAUUCCCCCAGUAGCGGCGAGCGAACGGGGAGGAGCCCAGAGCCUGAAUCAGCAUGUGUGUUAGUGGAAGCGUCUGGAAAGGCGCGCGAUACAGGGUGACAGCCCCGUACACAAAAGCGCAUGUGCUGUGAGCUCGAUGAGUAGGGCGGGACACGUGGUAUCCUGUCUGAAUAUGGGGGGACCAUCCUCCAAGGCUAAAUACUCCUGACUGACCGAUAGUGAACCAGUACCGUGAGGGAAAGGCGAAAAGAACCCCGGCGAGGGGAGUGAAAAAGAACCUGAAACCGUGUACGUACAAGCAGUGGGAGCCCCACCACUAAGCCAGUGGUGAACUCCACAUACGCAUCCUUUGCUGAGGAUACGGUUAACGGAGCGAAAGCGACGUUCAACCGCAAAAGAAGCAGAGGGGGCUUAGUGGUGGGGUGACUGCGUACCUUUUGUAUAAUGGGUCAGCGACUUAUAUUCUGUAGCAAGGUUAACCGAAUAGGGGAGCCGGAGGGAAACCGAGUCUUAAU
Molecule: ribosomal RNA, 755 nt
Filed under: Salmonella enterica subsp. enterica serovar Heidelberg
Lineage: Bacteria; Pseudomonadati; Pseudomonadota; Gammaproteobacteria; Enterobacterales; Enterobacteriaceae
Description: partial 23S ribosomal RNA
Rfam family: Bacterial large subunit ribosomal RNA
Source: RNAcentral